RNAcentral lists this ribosomal RNA (446 nucleotides) under uncultured bacterium. RNAcentral's name for it is "partial 16S ribosomal RNA". It matches the Rfam family "Bacterial small subunit ribosomal RNA", at positions 329 to 792 of the family's 1533-position model. The record is from RNAcentral.
UCCCAGACUCCUACGGGAGGCAGCAGUGGGGAAUAUUGCACAAUGGGGGAAACCCUGAUGCAGCAACGCCGCGUGAGUGAGGAAGUAUUUCGGUAUGUAAAGCUCUAUCAGCAGGGAAUAGAAAAGAAGGUACCUGAAAAAGAAGCCCCGGCUAACUACGUGCCAGCAGCCGCGGUAAUACGUAGGGGGCAAGCGUUAUCCGGAUUUAUUGGGUUUAAAGGGUGCGCAGGCGGCCUGUUAAGUCAGCGGUAACAGCCGGGGGCCCACCCCCGGCGAGCCGUUGAAACUGGCGGGCUGGAGUUGGAGAGAAGUACGCGGAAUGCGCGGUGUAGCGGUGAAAUGCUUAGAUAUCGCGCAGAACCCCGAUUGCGAAGGCAGCGUACCGGCUCCACACUGACGCUGAGGCACGAAAGCGUGGGUAUCGAACAGGAUUAGAUACCCUCGUA